CAAUUCCUCUAUAUAAUCAUCGCCUUAUAUUGAAUACCUCGCAUAUCUUACACUGAUAUAAUUCUAAAUUAUUACUUGUUAACACAACAAACAUUAACCAAUCAGCGUUUCUGUAAAUAAGUAUUGACACUUUAAUUAUACUUCACAUGAAUAAUUUUAAAAUACAAGACAUGUCUCUUGCCUUUUUCUUCAUGUUUUUUUUUUUUUUUAUGAAAUAAACAAUAUGAUAUAUGAAUAAAAAAUUUCUAAUAGCUAUAAAAAUAAACUAGAGUUAUAAGCACGUGGUUCAAGAUCUAAUAUUUUUAAAUUUAGUGAUUUUUAUCAGAUUCAUGUUUUGUAACUUUAUUUAAUUAUUAAAUUACGUAGCAUAUUCAACAGUAGAUAUGUUGGUAUCAUAUUAUGAACUUAAUUGUUAAUGGCUGAUAUGUGCAGUUCUAACAUUUUCGUGUAAUCAAAGUCAAAUAAUAAAUCAGACAUUAUUAAGUGUAAUGUUGACAGUGGCGUUUGUUGGAGUACGAAAUUUUGCGUUUACAUCGAAUAACUGUUAAAUGUAUAUUUACAAUGUUAAAAUACAAUAUAUAUAAUAAUGGAAAUUAUUUAAAAAAUAAAAUGAUGCAUCUUUUACUAACUUAGAACGAAAUAUGUACUUUCAAUAUCGAUCUGUUAUAACAAUAAGCCGGAUAAAAUUAACAUUUAUAGAAAUAUAAAAUGGAAAAAUGGCAGAUAUUUUAACUCCAUUUGUAUAUUGGGCUCAAACAGAGCAACAAAUUACAUUAAAGGUAGACUUGACUGAUACUUGGCGUGUUAAAGUUUACAUGAAUGAGAACAAAUUAAAGGUUACUGUUUAUGGACAAGGUGCUAGAGGUCUUAAUGAGUAUGGAUUUAGCUUGGAUUUACAUUCAUCUAUUAAUGUUGAGGAAAGUAAUUACAAAGUAACAGCUCGACAAGUUGAUUUUACAUUGGGUAAAAAGUGUCCUGCUUGGUGGCCAAGAUUAACUAGUCAACCACAAAAGCCAUCAUGGCUGAAAAUCGAUUUUGACAAAUGGACAAGCGAAGAUUUAGACGAUAACGAAGAUGAAAGACGAGAUGUAUGCAGUGAUUAUCCCGACAUGUACGAUAAACUUCAUGAAGAAGAGUUUGGUUAUAGAAAAGAAGAUUUCAAAAAAGUGUAUCUAAUUAUUUAUAACCUUUGUCAAUUUGUUGGUUUUAUCUAUAUUCUAACUGUAAUGGGAAUUAUGUAUUCACGAGAUGGACCAGCAUCUAUGAAAGAAACUUACAUAGCUGUUGGGAAUGCAAUGAAAUUUAUACAACUUAUACAAUUUUUAGAAGUUAUGCAUUCAUUAUUUGGUUACACUAAAAGUAGUACAUUUGUAACAUUUGUACAAGUGGGAGGCAGAGCAUUUAUUUUAUUUAUUAUGAUUGAGGCUGAACCACGUAUGCAAACGAAACCAGUUGUCUUUUAUCUCUUCCUUGUAUGGAGUGCAGUAGAAGUAUUUAGGAUGAGUGUGCUAGUUCAAUAUGUGGUGGUACGAAGAGAUCUUCUGGAGACAAUGAAGUGGCCCAUUGGCGCAGUUAUAGCUCAAGCAUGCCAUGCGUGUACCGCUGUUACUCAUCUUUUUUAUAAUGACAAUUACACACAAGCCUACCUUGCCAAUUUAGAUGCUAUGCACAAAGUUGUCUUGGAAGAAAGCAAAAUAACCGUAAGCAUUGAUACGAAGCUUUAAGCAAGACUAUUGCCACGGAUUUCUACUUAAUUAACAUACAGGAGCGUGGUGUUUUGCCGAUUAUGCAUGCAUACAACGUUAGUAUAACUACGGGACUUGCAAUUACCAGGACCACGUUAGUUUGGGAGAGCAAGGACCUUCGACAGCUGGUAUCGAGGUGCUAGUGAUGUCCUGCUAAGCAUAUACGAGAAUCCAAGCGUUCGUUCUACCUACUUUAAAUUCCUUACAAUUCCCUUUCCGACCAUUCGUUUCCAUUUCACUCGUUACAGCUUUCUUCUCUUCGCAUUAUUCUUCUCGAUACAAAGGUUUUUUUAAAGAAUAGGAACGACCUUAUCGACUAAAUCGCUACUAUACAAUGAUUACUGACAGGAUCGCCCUUUGCACCAUCGUGUCCUCGGUCGCCUUUUAUGCCAGGUGGACCUUGAAGCCCAGGAGUACCAGCUGGACCAGGUGGUCCCGGUGGUCCCAUUAUCUGUAAACACGAUUAAUUAUCUAAUUUCACGAACGGAGUUCAGAGCCUAAGCUUCACUUGCAUGAUUUACUUACUGGCAAUCCUGGAGGACCCUGAAUACCAGUUUCCCCAUCUGUUCCGUUGAGUCCAGGCAGACCAGGUAGUCCUUGUUCUCCCUUUGGUCC
Molecule: RNA transcript, 2360 nt
Organism: Bombus pyrosoma
Lineage: Eukaryota; Metazoa; Arthropoda; Insecta; Hymenoptera; Apidae
Gene name: putative peptidyl-tRNA hydrolase PTRHD1
Exons: 11
Source: RefSeq, a predicted model, not a curated record